Molecule: ribosomal RNA, 253 nt
Filed under: uncultured bacterium
Lineage: Bacteria
Description: partial 16S ribosomal RNA
Rfam family: Bacterial small subunit ribosomal RNA
Source: RNAcentral
UACAGGGGGGGCAAGCGUUGUUCGGAAUUACUGGGCGUAAAGGGCCAGUAGGCGGCCGACUAAGUCCGACGUGAAAUCCCCAGGCUUAACCUGGGAACUGCGUCGGAUACUGGUUGGCUUGAAUUCGGGAGAGGGAUGCAGAAUUCCAGGUGUAGCGGUGAAAUGCGUAGAUAUCUGGAGGAAUACCGGUGGCGUAGACGGCUUUCUGGACCGUAACUGACGCUGAGACACGAAAGCGUGGGUAGCAAACAGG